UACGGGGGGGGCAAGCGUUGUUCGGAAUUACUGGGCGUAAAGGGUUCGUAGGUGGCCAACUAAGUCAGACGUGAAAUCCCUCAGCUUAACUGGGGAACUGCGUCUGAUACUGAUUGGCUUGAGUGCAGGAGAGGAACGCGGAAUUCCAGGUGUAGCGGUGAAAUGCGUAGAUAUCUGGAGGAACACCGGUGGCGAAGGCGGCGUUCUGGACUGCAACUGACACUGAGGAACGAAAGCCAGGGGAGCAAACGGG
Molecule: ribosomal RNA, 253 nt
Filed under: uncultured bacterium
Lineage: Bacteria
Description: partial 16S ribosomal RNA
Rfam family: Bacterial small subunit ribosomal RNA
Source: RNAcentral